RNAcentral lists this transfer RNA (72 nucleotides) under Fukomys damarensis (Damara mole-rat). It matches the Rfam family "tRNA". Rfam says of the family: Transfer RNA (tRNA) molecules are approximately 80 nucleotides in length. Their secondary structure includes four short double-helical elements and three loops (D, anti-codon, and T loops). The record is from Rfam by way of RNAcentral. Lineage: Eukaryota; Metazoa; Chordata; Mammalia; Rodentia; Bathyergidae.
GGGAAUGUAGCUCAGUGGUGCAGUGUCUGCCUGGCAAGCAGGAGUCCCCGAGUUUGAUUCCUGGUACCCCCC